This 991-nucleotide ribosomal RNA is filed under the name Xenomystax congroides. RNAcentral's name for it is "partial 16S ribosomal RNA". It matches the Rfam family "Bacterial large subunit ribosomal RNA", at positions 1283 to 2925 of the family's 2925-position model. The record is from RNAcentral. Lineage: Eukaryota; Metazoa; Chordata; Actinopteri; Anguilliformes; Congridae.
UAGAAGAGAUAAUGCUAAAAUUAGUAAUAAGAGAGCAUCAAGCUCCCUCCCAGCACACGUGUAAGUCAGACCGGACAAACCACUGACAACUAACGGACCCAACAACAGAGGGGAAAACAACAAAACUAAACAAACAAGAAAAACCUACACCAAAAACCUACCGUUAACCCAACACAGGAGUGCCUUAAGGAAAGACUAAAAGGAAAAGAAGGAACUCGGCAAACACAAACCCCGCCUGUUUACCAAAAACAUCGCCUCUUGCUAAUAAAAUGUAUUAGAGGUCCCGCCUGCCCUGUGACCACAAAGUUUAACGGCCGCGGUAUCUUGACCGUGCGAAGGUAGCGUAAUCACUUGUCUUUUAAAUGAAGACCUGUAUGAAUGGCAUAACGAGGGUUUAACUGUCUCCUCCUCCCAGUCAAUGAAAUUGAUCUGCCCGUGCAGAAGCGGACAUAAAAACAUAAGACGAGAAGACCCUAUGGAGCUUUAGGUCAAAGAUCAAGCAUGUUAAAAGACUAUACAAACCAAAAGAACUAAAAAAGUCAUACAAACUAAAUGUAAAAUGAUCUAAGUACCUUCGGUUGGGGCGACCACGGGGAAAAAAGAAACCCCCACAUGGAAUGGAAACAUUUCCCUAAACUAAGAAAAACACCUCCAAGUAACAGAACAUCUGACCAAAAAUGACCCAGGAUUAAACCACCUGAUCAAUGAACCAAGUUACCCUAGGGAUAACAGCGCAAUCCUUUCCCAGAGCCCAUAUCGACGAAAGGGUUUACGACCUCGAUGUUGGAUCAGGACAUCCUAAUGGUGCAGCCGCUAUUAAGGGUUCGUUUGUUCAACGAUUAAUAGUCCUACGUGAUCUGAGUUCAGACCGGAGUAAUCCAGGUCGGUUUCUAUCUAUGAAAUUACUUCUUCCCAGUACGAAAGGACCGGAAAAAGAGGGCCUAUACUUAAAGCAAGCNNUACCCCUACCUUCUGAAAACAAAUAAAAAAA